CAACAAAAUAAAAAAGAUUUUGCCAAACAAAAAUUAAUCGAAUGAGUCGGUUUUCGUUUGGCAGUCGGUGCUGGAUGGCAGAAAAGUAAGUUUGAACUUUGGCCAUUCAUACACUUACAUUAAUCGAAUAUCCUUGAGCUGCUCUCCAUGAUUUAAGUAAAAAUUAAGCGUUCGAAUUAAUCCGGUACAUGGUCAGAAAUAAUGGAAUACAUUCUAUUUUCUUGAUAAUUUCGUGACGAUAUAAAAAAGCGCUUUAGCGCCAAAUUUAAUAACUCCCGUAUGAGAAAGAAAAAAUGUAAUUUGCACCGAGUUUUAUUAUUGGCCGAGUUUCUGGUAAAAAAAAAAUUUAAUAUUUCAAAGGGUAAAACGGGACGGGAGUUAUCUGGACUACUCUAUACCAGCCAUCUCCCGCCGAGAUGUUCUAGCUAUUUGUUUAAAUGUACGUUAGUAGGAAAUUAUUACAUUAAAGUUAAAUUGUCGACUUUUAAACUGUACUGUGCUCGACCCGCGCUGUACUACCGGUAAUUACCUUAUCGGUAAAAUAUUUUCCUUCGGCGAUAAUUUUCUUCGAAAAUAUUCGACCCUUCGUUUCCUUUCGAAACGCGCCUCUGGCCCACCCGCCAUUCGAGUUUGACACUACCGCUCCAUACCGAGUGUGGCCGACACCUUAAGAGAGUAGUAGUCGGAUGCGUGUCGAAGCGGCGGCAGGCUGUCCAGAGUACGGUUUACUGUUUGUUUAACGCGGAGGUCACCAAACUCACAUAACAGACAAAAUGACCAGCGUGGGCCGCAUAAUCAUUAUGUGCAAUACUCGCGAGCCAGAACGAAAGCUCUGAGAAAAAGACGAAAAACCGAGUUCAGCAUUCCGUGUUAAUCAUGGACGAGUGGCGUGCCAUGCACAAAAACAAGAUAAAGAUAGAGGGCGCUCUAAUUUUAAGGAAACGAAUUAAAAAAUGCACACAUUCGUAAUCAAAUCGAAGAGAAACUCGAAA
RNAcentral lists this long non-coding RNA (992 nucleotides) under Androctonus crassicauda. Lineage: Eukaryota; Metazoa; Arthropoda; Arachnida; Scorpiones; Buthidae. The record is from RNAcentral.